RNAcentral lists this ribosomal RNA (514 nucleotides) under uncultured soil bacterium. RNAcentral describes it as "bacterial SSU rRNA". It matches the Rfam family "Bacterial small subunit ribosomal RNA", at positions 26 to 513 of the family's 1533-position model. The record is from RNAcentral.
AGGAUGAACGCUGGCGGCGUGCCUAAUACAUGCAAGUCGAGCGAACAGACGAGGAGCUUGCUCCUCUGACGUUAGCGGCGGACGGGUGAGUAACACGUGGAUAACCUACCUAUAAGACUGGGAUAACUUCGGGAAACCGGAGCUAAUACCGGAUAAUAUAUUGAACCGCAUGGUUCAAUAGUGAAAGACGGUUUUGCUGUCACUUAUAGAUGGAUCCGCGCCGCAUUAGCUAGUUGGUAAGGUAACGGCUUACCAAGGCAACGAUGCGUAGCCGACCUGAGAGGGUGAUCGGCCACACUGGAACUGAGACACGGUCCAGACUCCUACGGAGGCAGCAGUAGGGAAUCUUCCGCAAAUGGGCGAAAGCCUGACGGAGCAACGCGCGUGAGUGAUGAAGGUCGUUCGAUACGUAAAAACUCUGUUAAUAGGUAAGAAACAAAUAGUAGUAAGUAACUAUGACACGUCUUGAACGGUACCUAAUACAAGAAAGCCAACGGCUAACUACGUGACCACG